GGCGACCUGCACAGGUGCUGCAUGGCUGUCGUCAGCUCGUGUCGUGAGAUGUUGGGUUAAGUCCCGCAACGAGCGCAACCCUUAUCCCUAGUUGCCAUCAGGUAAGCUGGGAACUCUGGGGAGACUGCCGGUGAUAAACCGGAGGAAGGCGGGGAUGACGUCAAGUCCUCAUGGCCCUUACAUCCCGGGCUACACACGUGCUACAAUGGCAGGUACAGAGGGCUGCGAAGCCGCGAGGUGGAGCGAAUCCCAGAAAACCUGUCUCAGUCCGGAUUGAAGUCUGCAACUCGACUUCAUGAAGGCGGAAUCGCUAGUAACCGCGAAUCAGCAGGUCGCGGUGAAUACGUUCCCGGGCCUU
This 358-nucleotide ribosomal RNA is filed under the name uncultured Latescibacterota bacterium. RNAcentral's name for it is "bacterial SSU rRNA". It matches the Rfam family "Bacterial small subunit ribosomal RNA", at positions 1024 to 1382 of the family's 1533-position model. The record is from RNAcentral. Lineage: Bacteria; Pseudomonadati; Candidatus Latescibacterota.